UGGGUAACCUGCCUCAAAGAGGGGAAUAGCCUCCCGAAAGGGAGAUUAAUACCGCAUGAUAUGUUUAAGUCGCAUGACUUUAACAUCAAAGGAUUUUCUUUUAGAAAUUCCACUUUGAGAUGGACCCCGCGGCGCAUUAGCUAGUUGGUGAGGUAACGGCUCACCAAGGCAACGAUGCGUAGCCGACCUGAGAGAGUGAUCGGCCACAUUGGAACUGAGACACGGUCCAGAUCCGUACGGG
This 241-nucleotide ribosomal RNA is filed under the name uncultured bacterium. RNAcentral describes it as "partial 16S ribosomal RNA". It matches the Rfam family "Bacterial small subunit ribosomal RNA", at positions 118 to 345 of the family's 1533-position model. The record is from RNAcentral.